Long non-coding RNA from Herpailurus yagouaroundi (jaguarundi), 322 nucleotides. RefSeq lists it as uncharacterized. The record is from RefSeq and is a predicted model, not a curated record. The transcript is spliced from 3 exons. Lineage: Eukaryota; Metazoa; Chordata; Mammalia; Carnivora; Felidae.
CCUACACGAUGUCUUCCGAUGACCUCUCUCUAGGAGCUCAGCGGCCUCAAGGAUGGCACUUUGCUGGGGGCAAAAGAGAACCUUAGCUUAACGUUACCCCAACCUCGAGGAUCCUGUAAGUCAACUUCCUCUAUCUCAGCUGCCCCAAGAUAUGUGCUGGCAAUCAUCUUCCAAGCUUAUGCCCCCCCCCCCGCCCUGAUAUACUUCUAAAGGGUCUCAGAACUGAGGUUUUAUUAAAUGGUAGUAAAUGGUGUUUAUUUAGCAACCGCUAGCGCCUCAAGGUCCUGGAAACCUUGCUUCUAAAAUUCCUUAGAGACUUACU